CAACAACAGCAAACCCAGCCACCACAAUCGCCGGCGGAGCAACCGGUGGCGCAUUCAACGCCUUCCAAGCAUAGCCACCAUCAUCCGCAAUGAUUUUCGUCUCCUCCUCCAGAGUGGUGAUCUCGACUCUCUCAACGGGAUGAGCAGCGGCACUCACGGUACUCUCGACGUGUCGCCCACCAUUCACGACGUCCCUCUCCUUC
This 203-nucleotide long non-coding RNA is filed under the name Elaeis guineensis (African oil palm). Its description in RNAcentral is "long non-coding RNA (EGUI_LNC030777)". The record is from RNAcentral. Lineage: Eukaryota; Viridiplantae; Streptophyta; Magnoliopsida; Arecales; Arecaceae.